ACGGGUGAGUAACACGUGGGCAACCUGCCCUUGAGACUGGGAUAACUUCGGGAAACCGGAGCUAAUACCGGAUAAUAUAAGGAACCUCCUGGUUCCUUAUUGAAAGAUGGUUUCGGCUAUCACUUAAGGAUGGGCCCGCGGCGCAUUAGCUAGUUGGUGAGGUAACGGCUCACCAAGGCGACGAUGCGUAGCCGACCUGAGAGGGUGAUCGGCCACACUGGGACUGAGACACGGCCCAGACUCCUACGGGAGGCAGCAGUAGGGAAUCUUCCACAAUGGACGAAAGUCUGAUGGAGCAACGCCGCGUGAGUGAUGAAGGCCUUCGGGUCGUAAAGCUCUGUUGUUAGGGAAGAACAAGUGCGAGAGUAACUGCUCGCACCUUGACGGUACCUAACCAGAAAGCCACGGCUAACUACGUGCCAGCAGCCGCGGUAAUACGUAGGUGGCAAGCGUUAUCCGGAAUUAUUGGGCGUAAAGCGCGCGCAGGUGGUUUCUUAAGUCUGAUGUGAAAGCCCACGGCUCAACCGUGGAGGGUCAUUGGAAACUGGGGAACUUGAGUGCAGAAGAGGAAAGUGGAAUUCCAAGU
Molecule: ribosomal RNA, 586 nt
Filed under: uncultured bacterium
Lineage: Bacteria
Description: bacterial SSU rRNA
Rfam family: Bacterial small subunit ribosomal RNA
Source: RNAcentral